UGGACGCCAAUCAAAACGUUCCCCCCCCCUGCGGCUUCCUGUCUCUUCCCCCACGCUGACGGGUGUUAAAAUCAAGAUGCAUGUAAGAAGGCUGGCGGCGUGAAUGCAUGUAUAUACAUGAACGAACACAUUGGAAAAUGUAGCCCAUCAUUAAGUAAAACCAUCUGGGACAAUGGAAAAAGAAGUGAGGCAGAUGUUGAUGGUGAACAAUGUUGGUCUGAACAAAAGAGCCCCGUUCUUUAUUGUUCUGCUGAAGGCAUUUGACAGUGAGGAUUUCUGCACAAAGGAACAAGUGUACAUGCUACGCUGGAAUAUGCUGAUAUGAUGAUUCUAUCGCUUAUUCGACAUUUAACACGACGAUGAUUCUUUGCUCGGUGUGUUGAGGAGAGCCAGGAGCUAGAAUGCUAAUUUACAUUCAUGUUUGUUCCUUAUGGGUGAAGCAGAACUUUAUUUUUGUUCCCUUUUAAACUUAAAAAAAAAUACACUUCCUGCAGGAGACAGGGGCCUAAAUGAUCUCAGAUAGUUCUUUGGUUCGAGUCGUGCGUCAUCCUCCGUAUGUAUUUCUGCCACAACAGCAUGCGACCUGUCGGGGCCGAAGCCCCCCGGCGACCAGUUGUCCGUCCUGCAUGCACACUGUCAUCAGACAGCGAGGGACGCAGAUCGUGCUUCGCUCUCCGUCCGAGUCUGUUCAUAUGUCAGCGACAUAACAGCUAAGAAUUGUUCUUCUGCUCUCUGUCACCAGCGAACGUGUUGUAUUUGGUGGAAAACUGUUGAUGCAGUUUCUAAAAAGACAUUUGUUUAUUUACUGAUCUUCAGACAUAAUAUUCACAAUAUUCACGAGCCAGUAGGCUAUUGUUCUUAAAGGGCAGGUAAAGGGAUAUUCUACAUAUUUGAAAAUGGUUCUUUUAAAUAUUGAAGUAAUAUUGUAAGAACCGGGUUCCUUUGUUACCUUCAACUCAAACGCACUAUUGAAUAAAUCCUAAUAAUCGCUUAAUUAUAUUCAGAAUGUAUAAUAAUCCUCAAUAAAAGCACCUUUUUACCUGUUUUAUUAACUAUUGCUAACGCCACAGUGCACAGAUGUUUGAGGAAAUAAUUCAGCUAAAUACUUUGUGUAAAACUUUUAACCUGAGAGCCGCGUUUCAAGAACAGUGCGUUGACAGACGAGCCGAAAUAAGUGUUGGUCUUUUUAUAGAAUCAAUUGACAAUCAGUUAUAGAAAUGGGAUUUAAAAAUAGGUUUAAAGGACCCCUCCUGUUUUACGGAGACACAUCUCUGUUUCUCGGGCUCGGUUUCUCGGGCUCGGUUCUGGUUGGACUGAAUCUCUUCUGCCAAUUUGGUUUCACAAAUGGUUCACAGAUGUGAUGAGAAAUUGCGGUAAAGGCAAUUUGCAGGAAAAAGCUGCAUCAGUACAUAUCUUUUUUGCAUGCAUUUUUUUUUUUGUGUGCGUGUGUGUGUGUGUGUCGGCUGUCCGAUCCUCCAUCAGGAUAUUUCAAAGCUCCACAACUGGCCCAGUUCCCUGCAUGGGGCGACAACAGCGUCACCACGCAGUAAUGAAUCAAAUUAAGUGGAAUGUCAGCUAGGCUAACGGAGCUCUCGCUCUCCUCGCGGCGUGAAAAGGAAUAGUUUCACGGCUUCAAUUUGUCUCUGCCUGCCCUCACUGGCACGUAUUUCCGCGUUUCAUCUAAAAAAGAAAAGUAAAAAGGUGAAAAAUUAUGCUUCUGGCAACAACAUGAUGAGUAGAAGGGGAAUAUCCAAUUGGAGAUGUAGAAAUGGUAUUCGCGUCUGCAGCCGGUGUAGAAGGGGGGGGGGCGGGGCUUACCUCUGGGUUUCAUGUAAAUAUAUGCGAUAACAUGAAUUACAUCCCGAGGGAAGCCCCCGUCCCCUCCGUCCCCCCCGUCCGCCCAUGUGAAGAUUAAAGCAUGUAAAGGUGAUGUGGAGGGAGAGUGACACCUCAAAGUGGGAGAAGAGAGAGCAGGACGAUGACACGGUGAUGAGCAGAGGAAAGUGUACCAGGAGGAGAUGUUUCUGAAUGACUGAGUGACAGCUGUUAUUGUCACUUGCACAACCUUCGGUGUCCAGAGAAAGACUCGUUUUCCCAUGUGAAGCAUGUCUACCGAGGCCUUUACUGUAUCUUAUUUCUGGAAAUCUGUCAUUUUUUGCCAGAAUUAAUUGAAAAUAAUUUACUCUUAUUUUAAUACUAAUGUGUCUCAUUUACACGCAAAGAAAGGUUCAACUACCUAGUUGAGAAUUCUUUAAUACAAGCAGCUUUAUUUUGUUUUAGAAGGGUAACUACUGGAAACAAAAGCUCCCUGACUUACUUCAACGCACAUCUUCUGAGUGUUUUUUUCACUGGAGGUUUUACAUUUUUUUCGGAGGACAACCGACUUCAAUCCUGCUCACGUGUAGUGACCAUCUGCGUCAGUUUCGUGAUCAAAUGAUCAACCUUCUAGUAUGAGUCCUCCAUAGAAAGAUCUUAUGAUCUACCGGGAGAGAGAGGAAGCGCAGCGAGGUGGUCAAGAGAGAGAGAGAGAGAGAGUGACUGAAACAGUGGGAUUACCCGUGGCCUCUAAUCCACACUUUACAACGUUCUCGCCCCAAAGCGAGGAGACCAUAAAUCUCCCGUAGGACACAGUCGAUGGCAACACUCAGACAAAUGGAAGGGAAUGGGGAUAUUACGCUGCACACAUCUGCGGCUCUCUGGGUAGAUAAGUACACUACGCUUCCAUUUAGUGUAAGAAAGAUGUCCUCGCGUGGUCCUCGCCACCAGCCGCCCAAUUCAGAGAGUGCUGCGACGAGAGGGUGGGGGGAGGGGGGGAGAGGGGGGGUUAUAUGGAUCACCAGUCGCAAACCAAAAGGUGUAUCCGAUGGAUAGACGGAGAUGGAUAAGAGUGGGGGGGGGGGGGGUGGCACAAGACCGCCUCUAUAUAUAGCAGGCGAUCCGUCAUCUCGCUUUUUGUCCGCUCGCUUCCCCUCGUCGGGGCUUUGAAGGAAUGAGGGAUCGCCGUUCAGAAGAUCAGAGCAAGUGAGGAGGGAACUUUGGAGGCUUGGAGAGAGGAGCAUAAGGGGAGAAAAUGUGUGUGUGUGUGUGUGUGUGUGUGUGAGUGACUGAUGACUGCUGCUCUUAAGAGUCCCAGUUGCAGCUCGCCGUAGUUCAACACUGUACAUCAAACACAUCCAGCACAAAGAUUUCCGCCGAUUCGCUACCAUCCCGUCGGCCAACGAGUGGGAUGUUUCUAAAGUGGGCAUCGUUUGAAUGUCCUGUCCGAUCCGACAGGUGGGAUUAACCGGCGGAAAGAUUAGAGACACAAAAGGAAACACACAAACACCCGGAGGGGAGGGAGUGCUUGAUGGGUCUUAUGAAGCUUCUUCUGAGGAGGAGGUUCGCCCGGUGGUCACUUCAAAAGCACAGAAGACGGAGCGGGGAAAGAAGGAGGAGGAGAGAGAGAGGGAGGGAGACAGAAGAUGGGUAGCGGAGCGGGAGGGGAUGAAGAAGAUGGGAGGAAACGGAGGGGAGGCGUGGACCCCAGAUGAAAGAAACACACAGAGGGAUUACUGGAAAGGAAAAUACAAAAGAGGGGGAAACAUCUGCGUGGUAAAUGUACCAGGAGACACCUGGAUGAAGUAACAAAGACUGGCUGUUCACGUCGAGGUGUUCAUGUGCGAUGAAUGAGGAUUUUUCUUAAUAAAAGUGUAAAAAGCACCUAAACGCCGGUGAGCGGUUCGGGAGAUCGAGUCCCGACUACAGCAGAAACUUCUCGCCUCCUGCUCUCAAUGCAGAAAGCAUCUGACGAGCACGGUAAAGCCUGCAGGCGGACGCAAUAUUAUAAAUGGGAGGCUGGUUUGAAUUAAUCAACCAUUCGUAGAAAGAGAGCUACGUGUAGCCGGCUCCAUCUAGAAACCUUCUCCUUGAAUAAUUCACAGCGGUAAAUAAAACAUAUCCAGUGGUCUUCACCUCAAACAUUUUUUUUGGAGAUAGCAGAUAGCCGCCGUGCUGAGUAAUGAGUUCUUCGCUUGCAAAUGAGUGCAGAAAUGACAAGCCAGCGGAUGAGCACCGGAACACGGGAAAAAGGGCCGCACCUCAAAAUGCAGUUAUUUCGCAUUGAUAUUCAAGGAGGGGCUGAAUUUAAAACAGAAUAUUGCAUUAACAUAGCUGCCUUUGAUACGACAGCCUAACAUGCAAUCUCUCCAGAACCCGCAACCAAAAACCAUCACUGCGGUGAUUGCAACGAUGUCCAAAAGCGCUGUUAUCGAAGAAAAAAAAAAAACAAUAACCGGGAAACGUUGUUAUCCAGCGGCGGCGCGGCGGACGCAUUACUGUCCGUUUGAUUGUCCCAGAAUAACAGACGACAGUGGGGCGUUUAUUGCUUUUCUCCCGCACUGAAGAGCGCAAUAUAUUUCUGCAUAAUGCAUGAGCGCCAGGACGGUGGCCCCAAUUCACCCCCGGAAACAAAUAAGCUUCAUAAUGAACCAUAUCAGUGCCACGCCGGCAGACGGGGAGGAUGCAAGCACAAGGAAACAAAGAAGAAAAAAACAAGAGAGGAGGAGACGGACGGGCCACAGAUCUUUUCCUGUGGUUCGUCGGGCGCCGCGCGCCGAAACCACCACAGCGGACGGUUGCGGCGAUCGCGCCAGCGCUGGUCGGAGCACGGAUCGCUUUGCCGCCGCUUUCACGGCGCACAAAGGUAAAAGGUACCUCAUUUGCAAAAAAAGGGCAACCAACGAGGCUCAUUUCACUUUCUGAAAUCAUGCAAUAAUCGCUCUCGAGCGCGUCGAGUGCGAUGGUGGAAUUCAACCGUACAGUAGCAGCCGGGGAAAAUCUGCAAUUCAAAUUUAAAAAAGCAAAGAGGAAAAAGGUUACAGCAAUUACCGUUAUUUUACAUUAGACUUAACCCAAAUUGCAGAUGAAACCUCCGAUCCAAAAGCAAUUCUUUCUCCCCUUGAUGUAAAAUAAAGCUGUUUUCCGACAGACAUUAAAUCAUUUUUAUCACACAGAUGGUCACACAUUGGGCCACAUCAUUAUCCUGUUAAUGUCAUUCAUAAUUACUCAAUAUAACCCAACAGUACCACUGUUUAUUUAAAUGGGCUAUUUGUUAUUCCUCCUCCAUUCCUGGACUCCAGCAGGAGCACGACGGGCCAACGUUCUCCGUCCUGUCCGUACCAUCUCAUCAUCUUGCCCCGGUGCCCAAAUGCCGAGGUUGAGAAACUUAAAAGUGGUUUUCCUGGUAGCGUCCUCAGAGACGGACAUCUGAGGACAGCUGCUCCCCCUCGCGCCUCCCUCCCCCCCCGUCUCUCUCUCUCUCGCUUGUUGCCUUCCUCUCGCUGUCAAUCACAGGCAAACUUUUAAAUCUCCUCUUCCAGCCCCACCUCUUUGAACUCACCAUAUUUCCUCUCCAUCUGUCUGUCCUUAUAAAGCACCCUCUCUCUCUCUCUCUCUCUCUCUCUCCCUCCACACACACUUUUCUUUCAUUUACUUUACAAUGACAAAUUGUUCCAUUGAAGCAGAUCAGGUCAAGGGGGCGACGCCAGUAGUUAGUCAGGCACGGCCUUUGUGUGUGAAUGUGUGCGUGCGAUGUGUACAUCUUAGCUCCUAUUACUCUGACACAACGCUUUCUAAAUCUGCCGCCCGACACUCACUCCUGCCCGCCGCGUCUCCCCCGCUUUACACACUGCUCAGGCCGGAGCCCGAGAGAUAUCUCAACCCCAGGCACUUCCACGUCAGCGUGAAUGAUCCAAACUGCACCGCCACGUCGUUUUUGGGGACGAACAUUUGAUGCCGUUAUCUUUAUCUUUAUUUUUUUAGGCCUCAGGAUCGCGUAGGCGGUAGAUCUUCCGCCCGUUGAUCAAAAUCACGUUACGUCACACGUGGUCGACCACAGAAACUAAUGCUAAUGCUAAUUAGCAAUCCUUGCUAACUAACACCAACCCAACGCGCUGACUCCAGUCCAGAACGUGUGGAAUGGUCGUGACGGUUCCCUCCUUCUGACAGACGAGAGGCUCGUUGUUUUUUUUAUAUAUAUCGAUCCGUUUAGCGCCGUCAGCAGCAUGCAGCGCCGUUGUUACGUUCGGUUACCGCUACUACUCGUUCGCCCGAUGGAUCGAACAUGACUUCGGUCGGUUUGAAACGUAGCGCGCCGGCCGGAAAAGCGUGGGAGCCGCUGGCUUGUACGAAAACGUACAUCCACGUACUUGUGGCUUAACAUAAAUGGGCAGAUUGCAUGGAUGGUGUCACCGACGACCUCUAUGACGGUUAAUCCACAACAAAGUGUUGGUAUCCUGCAGGUCUGAGAUCCAGGGAGGUGUGAUGAUUAAUGGCGGCGGUGCCGACGGUAAUGAGCGGUGGGACUUUAGCGGUGCCCUUUUGUUGCCUCCACUCCUGAGGGCCACCUUCCACGAGUGCAGAGAAAGUAGUCCGAUCCGUGGCUGCAGGGCAGAGCGGGGAGAGCCGACAUAGUUCAUAUUCUUUGCAGAAUAGAAGGAGCAGAAUGAAAAGAUUCUCUGCCAGAGUGAGAAAAUUAAUGCCACAGUCACAUCUGUAGAAUAGAUAUUUUUCGAUUCCUGCAGCCGCCAUAAACUGAGCAGAAAGACGGCGGAUGGGGAUUAAUCAAAGGUAACACAAUGUGCCGGCCUCCAACUCUCAAGCCGCACCGAAAAUGUUAUGCAACGUUUCUUGGCAUCUGUCACUCGCAUGUCUCGUGGUACAGAUGCGUUUGAAUUCGAUUACAUGCAAGAAUUCACGCCACACGUCACGGGGAGACAGCAGGGUUUAAAAAAUAAGAAUAAUCGAGUCCAGCUGUUUUUUUUUCAAGCGCAUUACGAGAUGUUAGUGAGCGUUAGAAGUGUUAAUUAGGCUCUAGAAGUGCUGACGGAACCAGAUUAGCUGCUUCUGGGUUCCGGUCUUGUACGACAGAAAUGAGAAAAAUUGACGUCGCCAACUGUGAGGACGUUGAGUGCAAGGACGGGCUAAUUUAAAUUGGACAUCUGAUCACGCCGAGACCCUCCAAUAACUGUGGCACGCACGGUUAAUUCCAACUUGGUGUUUGUUUCAGCUUCAAUAGGAUUAUGUUGUUAUAAAGGACGUUCUACGGUGAGCGGAGGGAGGGUCAAUAAGUGUAGGAUUUCAGGGGACACGAAAAGUCCACGCAGUGAGAGGGAAAAGGCCUUGGAAACUUUGGACAUCCGGUCCGGGGGGGGGACGUCAGCGCACGACGGCGCCCGUGACAACGCGCUGCGACCGUCUGUCCGCAUGGAGCGCGUUGAGCAUCUUUAUCCGAGCAGACGUCGUCCCCGCGGCGACGGUUAAGCGUCCCGCUUCUGGAAAAAACGCCACGUGGUUUCGUGCUCGGUCAGUCGAUCGCCUCCUCUUCAUCCGGCCAACGACGACCACAUGGCGCCCACAUUUUCAUCACCAUUCGAAACCUUUAAGUGACGACACAAACCUGCUUCGAGUCUAACGAGCUGUGUAACCGUCAGCCGAAGAGGUUACAUCCCUGAUUGUGGCUCCGGCAUUAACUGAACAUUUAUGCUCUCGUGUAGCCGCACUGUUGAACUGAAAAUACAUUUUUACAACCGCGUUUGCGAAAGGUGUUUAAAGCAACGUUUUCUUUCCAACAAUGGCAGCCAUCUCCGAGCUCCGCGCCGGCUGCCACCGUCUCCCCGUCCCUCCAUUGUGCGCACAUUGUGUGAACUCUCAUUACAGGGGUGGUAAUAGACUCUUCAGCACUGAGAUCCUCUGUAUUAUCCGUCAACUGUGGACUACAUCGCUAAGCUGAUUAGCCUGAGCUCUCUUUUCAGCAUUUCAAUUAGGAGCGUUUUGAAUAGUGGUGCAGAUUGCACGCCUCAUGUUCAUCCGCUGACAUUUUUAGCGCGCCAGUCGAUGUCGGGAGUCGCGAGGAAUCCAAGAAAUGCAACUGCAGCAGUGAGGAUGAAGAGCUACAAAAGAAUUACGUCAUGUUGGCGGGAUGGCUAUCAACAGAAACCCAAAGCAAUUCACGGCUUCACGGAGGCACGCGGUCUUAGCAUAAAUGGCCCAGCUGGCAACUACCGUCACACACACACAUUAGGAUUAGCGCGGCCUGUGAAACAACAACGGGACAAACGUUUCGCGGAGCGCCGUCAUUGGUCGUCUGCGGCGCCAGAUGACGGCGGCAUGGGCCUCAGCCGUGGGUGAAGUCACCCACAUCUGCCUCUCGGAGGGCUGUCGAACGCGAACGGCUGAGAUGAAAAUUCGCCUUCCUGAGUGGCGUGAAGAGAAGCCGGCUCCUCGAAAGGGUACGAGGGCCGUGAACACCCACGCGCUUAAUCUCUGCGCUCGUGUCUUUCACGCGAUGUCCCACGCGGGGGGGGGCCUUUACGUCCGGGAGAGAACGACAGAGCAGGAAGCUGAAGAGGAGGACAUUGAGGGAGACGAGCAGGUGGAUGAGGUUGUGACUCCUGGUGCUACUAGAUCUGGGUCAGACUGGGAUGUGAUCUGCUCAGCGCGCGUGUGUGUCUGUGUGUGUGUGCGUGCUCACAUGUACACGCGGGGUGCACGGUUUAGUGAUGUCAUUAGAAGUCGAGCCAAAAAAACGAUGAUCUCGGGGGUAUUAUCGGUAUCUGUUUAAGGUAUCCAGCUUUGUCAAAUACCCACUUGACACAGGAACCACCCCUGUGUUUUAUCAUUCAGCUCGCCGUGACUCCACACGCACACAAACUCGCUAAUCCACUCAGCCAUUGUUAAUCCAGCUGCGCGCCGGUUACAGAGACGUGCCGUACACGGCUAACAACCGUGUUCGCCGCGGCGCGCGGAAGUCACGCCUGUCGGUUCUCAGGUGUGCUCGUUCGACGGAGAGCGCGGCCUCAUCGGGAGCGGCGCGCUGGAGGACGGAGGGAGCAAGUGACCCUUGGCGGUACUUGAACAGGAAGAUGAAAAUUCAUGUUUUCAAUUGGGAUUUUCCAAGAGAGCAAAUACCUAUAUUUAUUUUUACAGUAACCUCUGAACUUCUGCUUUUCGAUGUCUGUGCUAUAGAUGUUUUUUAACAUUUUUGUUAGCCAAGACAUUUGUGAACUUUGACCCAAUUUAGUUAAUCACCAGUUUGAAACCAGCUUGUGGUUCCUAAGAAUUUAGGAAGGACUUAACACACAAUUUCAGUGCGGGACUUACGAACAGCUGGGGCAACCCGGUCCUCCUGAUGAAAUAUCGCUCCAUAGAGUUGUGAUGGAGUUGAUCUAAAGGACUUUCAAAUUGGAAACCGGAGGGGGGGAGUGGGGGGUAAAGUCUGUGCUCAUGAUGACCAGAUUAGGAUUUGACAUCCCGUGGAAAAAGUGGUUGGCUUGGACGCAGUGGACAAAUGGAAAUAAACCCUUAAAAGCCCAAAAACAAAUAUUAAGGAGCAGGAGGAAGACGCCUUGGAAAAGUGGACGGGAUGAGGAGAAGGGAGGCAAAGUAAGACCCGUGGGAACGGGUCGAGGAGGGAGCGGGACGGCGAUGGAGAGCCGGAGGCUGAACGCGAGACGCAGAGUGGCGUCGCGCUAGAAAAGAUGCAGCUGCGAGGGAUCAUUAAAUAUAGAGAAUAACCAGAAGAGGAAAGGCAACAGAAAAAGAGCUAGAGCCGCCGAUAGAGAAGAGACGCUGGGCACUGAAACGUAGUAGAGGAGACAGCAGAUGGUGGGGAUUAUUGUGGACUGAAAUACUCUGGGAUCUACACGGGGAAGGCCGCAGACAUAAACCGUUGCAGACUCCAUCUGCCAGAAAUAGACCAAAAAAAAGCUGCAGGCCCAACGUCGGCAUUAUGAUCAAAUGCUGCCUAAAUGAUAAAACUACUUAAAAAAACGUCUCCAACUGUCCUCCCACUAUUUCAUUUUAAGGACAGAGAGAAAGCUGUUGUUCUAACGUGUCAAAUCAGUCAGUCGCCAAAGACACAGUGCAUGCAGAGCUACGCACGUUUAAGACGCUUUUAUCCCCUUCUGUUAAAAGGCAUCACGAAGCACAAACAGGAACUAGUUGCCUUAUUCUUUUACAGCAGGUGCACUAACGCUGGAGUGUGUUUGUGUGCGAUUAUGACUGAUACCAUAAGACACCCCCUAAUCCACAUUUUAUGUUCACCAUGAUUAGGACGACAGGCCACGUGCGCAGAGAAAACCACAAACUGGCCCACAAAUCCCCCCCUCCCACCCCCCUCAGUAAUGCCUCUCCAUCCAUCAGCACACUCCUGCACACAUAUGAUUGCAGAUACAGUCUAAUGCCCGCCAAUCAAAUCAAAUCGUCCCAUCCCACAUGCAGAGAGAGAGGAAAUUAAAGGGGGGAAAAAAAAACCUUCCCCUGUGUGGAGAUCAAACCUCGAACCUGCAAAACGAAAUAAAAAGAAUGUAGAAAAGAUAAUCACUGUUGUGAGUGCACGUAAGCGUAAAAUCAACAACAUUAGCUUCUCCGUGUGUAGACAGACACACACCAUUCUGCAGCUUUCUCCCUAUACUAUAUAAUUGCCUAUUGAGCCGCGUCACUCGAGACUUGUGCUUCGUGUUCGCACAACAGCCAGUAAUUGUUAGUGAAUGUUAGUCACAACAUGGCAAACAUAUUGACUGACUCUAUGCAUGUGCGUGCAUGGCUUUUAUUGACUAAUUAUCGUGAGCCCGACAGUGAACAGUUCAUUCGAUCCUUCCCUGGGACUGAGCAUCAAGUACUUAUUGGUGCAUUCUAACCCAAAGAAAAGACAACAUGGAUGGUAAUGAAUGUUCUAUACGGCAGACUACUCAGCCUAUUGGUUUCCAACGGUCUCAAUUGUAAACAAUUUGUCUAGUUCUGCAAAACAGAGCCUUUGUCUGUACUUUUUUACAUUUACGGACUUGUGAAAAGAGGGGGCUCUAAAAGUUACACUAUGUCCUGCGCUGAGAACCUUUGGCUCUCUCAGGCUGAACAGAGACUGGAAACAACAGAGUCCACUGCAGCAUACAAAUAAGCCUUCCACUCACACACACACUCACAUGCCAAUGAUGUUCAUGUGUUGGUGCCUGAGGUUUGUCAUCCACAACAUUUGCACAAACGACAUUAAAAUCACAGGAUUGUGUUCUCCUUUGGUCCUAUCAUAACCCCCCCUGCUGUAUAUGCCUGCACGGUAUCUGGCACAAGUGAUGUCCCAGCGUUGCUGUCUUGUGAAACCAAAGCGAGUAACGUUUCGUAGAGAGCUGGGUGCUUAUGAUCUUGGAAACAUGCACUUGCUCGAUGGGGAAUCCUUUUACACCCCUUCAUGUGCGACGAGAUCAAAUCCAACGUGUUGUGCUCGUUGAGGUGAAAACUGAUUUCACGAAUUUGAUUCCAAGUCAACCAUAAGUUCUCAGCGACGUAUUAAAAGAAAGAAAGAAAAAAAAGGCACAUAUUUUCAGCCAGAGCUGUUCGGCCAGAGGUGUGAGGCGGAGGCUUCGCCUGGCUGAUCCCUUUCAGUUGCAGAUGUUCACAGGCCCAUCAGCAGCGGGGCUUAACGCCACAUAGGGCUAAUGAGUUGGAGACGGCGAGGAGCGAUCAUUCCAUCCGUCGUUUGGCAGUGGUGCCCGACCGCUCACAUUCACACUGGGCUUUCAGCUGGAGCAAAGGCUCAAGGGAAACAGGGAGGGUGGGUGAAAAUAACAGAAAACAAGUGCUGCUCAUGCUGGUAUUCUUACAAUUGAUAUCUUGGAUGUACAGACCAAAGGCCUCUGGCUCACAGUAAUAUCUGUGUGACUGACUGGCAGCCAACCACAAAAGAGCCAAAAGAAACAUUGGAGAUUUGAGUAGUUGACUAUACAGUCCCCUGUCCGAAUGGCAUCGCGCUGCGUCUUUUUCUUCCCCUUCUGAAGCGCUGCAAUUAGUCACUGCCGGAGUCUGUGGCCGCGCAGGUUGAGUUUAAUCUCAACCUCUGAGGCACUUUAUGAAGAAUUUCAAACCAUUAACCAAGCUCAACAAUUGGUGGUGGCUGCCAAGCACCUUCAAAGGAAUGUCAGUUUCCAUGGCGACCAAGCCACCGC
This is a long non-coding RNA of Gasterosteus aculeatus aculeatus (three-spined stickleback), 11975 nucleotides long. The record is from Ensembl. NCBI's taxonomy places the organism in Eukaryota, Metazoa, Chordata, Actinopteri, Perciformes, Gasterosteidae.